This 517-nucleotide ribosomal RNA is filed under the name uncultured bacterium. RNAcentral's name for it is "bacterial SSU rRNA". It matches the Rfam family "Bacterial small subunit ribosomal RNA", at positions 992 to 1509 of the family's 1533-position model. The record is from RNAcentral.
AGAACUUAGCAGAGAUGCUUUGGUGCCUUCGGGAACUCUGAGACAGGUGCUGCAUGGCUGUCGUCAGCUCGUGUUGUGAAAUGUUGGGUUAAGUCCCGCAACGAGCGCAACCCUUAUCCUUUGUUGCCAGCGGCUCGGCCGGGAACUCAAAGGAGACUGCCGGUGAUAAACCGGAGGAAGGUGGGGAUGACGUCAAGUCAUCAUGGCCCUUACGGCCAGGGCUACACACGUGCUACAAUGGCGCAUACAAAGAGAAGCGACCUCGCGAGAGCAAGCGGACCUCAUAAAGUGCGUCGUAGUCCGGAUUGGAGUCUGCAACUCGACUCCAUGAAGUCGGAAUCGCUAGUAAUCGUAGAUCAGAAUGCUACGGUGAAUACGUUCCCGGGCCUUGUACACACCGCCCGUCACACCAUGGGAGUGGGUUGCAAAAGAAGUAGGUAGCUUAACCUUCGGGAGGGCGCUUACCACUCUGUGAUUCAUGACUGGGGUGAAGUCGUAACAAGGUAAGCGUAGCGAG